Molecule: ribosomal RNA, 253 nt
Filed under: uncultured bacterium
Lineage: Bacteria
Description: partial 16S ribosomal RNA
Rfam family: Bacterial small subunit ribosomal RNA
Source: RNAcentral
UACGUAGGGGGCUAGCGUUGUCCGGAAUCAUUGGGCGUAAAGCGCGUGUAGGCGGUCCGGUAAGUCCGCUGUGAAAGUCGGGGGCUCAACCCUCGGAUGCCGGUGGAUACUGUCGGGCUUGAGUACGGAAGAGGCGAGUGGAAUUCCUGGUGUAGCGGUGAAAUGCGCAGAUAUCAGGAGGAACACCAAUGGCGAAGGCAGCUCGCUGGAACGGUACUGACGCUGAGGCGCGAAAGCGUGGGGAGCGAACAGG